ACGCUGAUAUAAGGAGGUAAGGCUUUGGAACCCUACAGAUCUUGGGCUGAAGGACCUGUACAGAAUGGGCAAUGAAGAGUCCGGUCCAGCUCCCCACCUUCAGUCCCGCGAAAAUUCGAAGCCGAAGUCUUCGCGCCACCACCACUCGCAGUCGCAAGGGCCUCCGCUACCAGAUUAUGGUGACGUACAUCCACCUAUCGUUGGCGAGAAACUAAGAAGCAGAGGAUAGGGUUGAAUGAAUCUUUAACUAUGUGCACUAUGGGCCAGCUACCGAAUCCCAAACCUCCAGGCUCAGUAGAAAUCAGCAAGUUCAAGUUGAAAUUUUAUCACUGUCAUUGUUUUGGAACAUUCCCAAAUUUUCCUGUGAAAUGUACUGUUAACAUUUCCCUUACUAUUCCUUUUCUCCUUGGUUGUAUCAUUGUCACAUCCUAAACUCUGUUUAUCUCCCGCUCUGUGAAUUCUUUGGACAUGUGAUGAUCUGAAACUAUUGUAUCUAAUUCAGGAUGCAUUUAGAUCUGCUUCACUUC
Molecule: long non-coding RNA, 527 nt
Organism: Hevea brasiliensis (rubber tree)
Lineage: Eukaryota; Viridiplantae; Streptophyta; Magnoliopsida; Malpighiales; Euphorbiaceae
Exons: 2
Source: RefSeq, a predicted model, not a curated record